Molecule: ribosomal RNA, 465 nt
Filed under: uncultured Streptococcus sp.
Lineage: Bacteria; Bacillati; Bacillota; Bacilli; Lactobacillales; Streptococcaceae
Description: bacterial SSU rRNA
Rfam family: Bacterial small subunit ribosomal RNA
Source: RNAcentral
GACGGGGCCGCACAAGCGGUGGAGCAUGUGUUUAAUUCGGAGCAACGCGAAGAACCUUACCAGGUCUUGACAUCCCGAUGCUAUUUCUAGAGAUAGAAAGUUACUUCGGUACAUCGGUGACAGGUGGUGCAUGGUCGUCGUCAGCUCGUGUCGUGAGAUGUUGGGUUAAGUCCCGCAACGAGCGCAACCCCUAUUGUUAGUUGCCAUCAUUCAGUUGGGCACUCUAGCGAGACUGCCGGUAAUAAACCGGAGGAAGGUGGGAUGACGUCAAAUCAUCAUGCCCCUUAUGACCUGGGCUACACACGUGCUACAAUGGUUGGUACAACGAGUUGCGAGUCGGUGACGGCGAGCUAAUCUCUUAAAGCCAAUCUCAGUUCGGAUUGUAGGCUGCAACUCGCCUACAUGAAGUCGGAAUCGCUAGUAAUCGCGGAUCAGCACGCCGCGGUGAAUACGUUCCCGGGCCUU